RNAcentral lists this long non-coding RNA (720 nucleotides) under Nicotiana tabacum (common tobacco). RNAcentral describes it as "long non-coding RNA (NTAB_LNC009387)". Lineage: Eukaryota; Viridiplantae; Streptophyta; Magnoliopsida; Solanales; Solanaceae. The record is from RNAcentral.
CGGACCAACAACUUGUUAUUUCCAACAAGCUUAAAUAUAAUUUCAUACUAGAAAGCAACACAGAUCUCAGCCAAAACUAAACAGGGUCUAAAAUACAUAACAAAUUGACAUGAAACUUCUGCAACAAUAGCCUUAAAGGACCCUUAACACGAACUAAAAUUCAUUAAAUGGCUAAAGUUCAUGGUUUGCCCAAUAUUACAAAGCAAACUUAAGGCUAAACAUCAAAGAGUAAACAUGACGAAGGGAAAAUCAAAACUAAUCUAUAACAUCUGAUGAUUUCCAAAGGACCAACAUUUCAGAGACAAGAAACUUAAUGCUAUGCUUCAAAAUUUUCAUUUCCAUUUCAUUCCUCAACUUGUGCACCACAUUGUACAAGAUUCAAGAACAUGUACCUAGCAAAAAAGGAAACAAGAGCAGCGUAGAAUCAGCGGAGCAGCAGCAGAAAAAGAGCCCAGAUUCAGUCAAUGAAAUAGUGGAAUCAACUCAAGAACAAACGAUGGAACAGUAAGGGAAUAAUAAAUGCAAAACCAGCUUCAUACCAAAAACUCAAGCCAUUUCUCAACCAGAAGUGUAGCUAGGGAAAACUUUAAGUACUUUAGCUAAUAAAGAGAAAUCAGAAAUCCAAACAGGCAGGAUUUUGAUAGUUUCUCCACAAUGGAAUGCAGAAAUUUCGGAACUUUUAAAAGAAUUCAGCCGUUUCAGCUUUUUUAGGAAUUUUUC